GAUGAACGCUGGCGGCGUGCUUAACACAUGCAAGUCGAACGGUGAAGCAGAGCUUGCUCUGUGGAUCAGUGGCGAACGGGUGAGUAACACGUGAGCAACCUGCCCCUGACUCUGGGAUAAGCGCUGGAAACGGCGUCUAAUACUGGAUAUGAGCUGCGACCGCAUGGUCAGCAGUUGGAAAGAUUUUUCGGUCUGGGAUGGGCUCACGGCCUAUCAGCUUGUUGGUGAGGUAAUGGCUCACCAAGGCGUCGACGGGUAGCCGGCCUGAGAGGGUGACCGGCCACACUGGGACUGAGACACGGCCCAGACUCCUACGGGAGGCAGCAGUGGGGAAUAUUGCACAAUGGGCGAAAGCCUGAUGCAGCAACGCCGCGUGAGGGAUGACGGCCUUCGGGUCGUAAACCUCUUUUAGCAGGGAAGAAGCGAAAGUGACGGUACCUGCAGAAAAAGCGCCGGCUAACUACGUG
Molecule: ribosomal RNA, 467 nt
Filed under: uncultured bacterium
Lineage: Bacteria
Description: partial 16S ribosomal RNA
Rfam family: Bacterial small subunit ribosomal RNA
Source: RNAcentral